This is a small nuclear RNA of Leptonychotes weddellii (Weddell seal), 112 nucleotides long. Lineage: Eukaryota; Metazoa; Chordata; Mammalia; Carnivora; Phocidae. The record is from RefSeq and is a predicted model, not a curated record.
GGAUUUGGCAACACAGACUCUAAAAUUGGAACAAUACAGAGAAUACAGACAAGAUUAGCAUGGCCCCUGCGUAAAGAUGAAGCAUGCUGUAUUUGAAUGUUAACUAACUGGA